GAUGAAGAACGUAGCGAAACGCGAUAAGUAAUGUGAAUUGCAGAAUCCAGUGAAUCAUCGAAUCUUUGAACGCACAUUGCGCCCGCCAGUAUUCUGGCGGGCAUGCCUGUUCGAGCGUCAUUUCAACCAUCAAGCCCCCGGCUUGUGUUGGGGACCUGCGGCUGCCGCAGGCCCUGAAAAGCAGUGGCGGGCUCGCUGUCACACCGAGCGUAGUAGCAUACAUCUCGCUCUGGGCGUGCUGCGGGUUCCGGCCGUUAAACCACCUUCAUAACCCAAGGUUGACCUCGGAUCAGGUAGGAAGACCCGCUGAACUUAAGCAUAUCAAUAAGCGGAGGA
RNAcentral lists this unclassified non-coding RNA (336 nucleotides) under soil metagenome. Its description in RNAcentral is "partial contains 5.8S ribosomal RNA, internal transcribed spacer 2, and large subunit ribosomal RNA". The stretch from base 1 to 120 matches the Rfam family "5.8S ribosomal RNA", at positions 35 to 154 of the family's 154-position model. The record is from RNAcentral.